GUGGCCUCAGCAUGGCCUCCCUCCCUGGGGAGGUGCUCAGGGCCAAGGGAGCUGGAGACAGGCCCUGUCCCACCCACCGCAUGCUGGCCUCUGUGAGGCUGCUCUGUGGCUCCUCCAGCCCCCUCGCUGGGGCAGGGCCAACUAGGAGGGAGGAUGGAAGAGCAGGAUGGGUGUCGGGUCCCCAGCCCCCAUACUCUGAGCAGCCCCACGCCUCCUCUGGUCCAGGAAGGUCUUCCUCCAGUACAGCUGCAGAAGGCCUGGGAGUAGAUUUGGCCCAAAAUAUGGGUUCUUGAAAAUGGAAGCCUAAGAAGUGGUCUGGUCUUGAGAUGGGCAUGUGGCUCCGCCUGGUGGGGUCUGAGAAUAUUGCACCCAAAUGGCCUCAGGCCUUGGGUAUUUAUUGACCCCCACCCUGCUAGGCACUGGUGACAGGAAAGCGGCCACAGCCUCUGCCUCCUUUGAGGCUCCCUCAGCCCAGGGUUUGGCUCCCCGGGAGAGCCUGUAUGCCAGGGCCCCAGGCCUCUUGCUCAGGAAUUCCCAUUGCACAUACUCCAUGUACUGGUGUUUUCCUGUGCCAGGUGCCAGGUGGUCUCUAGUAAGGCAGGAGAUGCUGUGAAGGGGGUGCCCUCACAGCCAUGGCACCACCAGGGGUGAAGGGCAUCAUGGUGACUAAAGGUCUAAUGGGAGGUGGGAAACAUCCAAUGACACAGAAUGUCCAGGAAAGGCAGGUUUGCACCAGAAUGCAGGGCCCUGGGCAUACAUGCACACUCACAGUGACACACUCACAGGUACACACACCUUACACACUCACAUAUACCCAGGCACACACUGUACACUUGCACUCGCCUAUUACAUGCAGUCUCACACAUACACAGACACGUACACAAGUGCUUGUAUACACAUUCAUAUAAUCACUGUCACACGUGGGUGUAUAUACUUUCACACAUGCACAUAUGCAUGCAUGUACACGCACACAUUUUUGUGCACAAACAUACGUGUGUGUGUAAACACAUGCACACACAUGCACACACCACUCCUCUUCUGGAGCUGAAGCUUCUCUCCUCGGUGCCCAUAAUUCUAAGUUGACCACAGAGAAGAUAGGUGCUGCCUAGCAACUCCUCCCAGGGCAGAGGAGCUGUCUGCUGGUCAGUGCUCUUGGUUGAGCAUGGCCUGUGCCAAGCACUGUCUUGGUGCUUUGCAUGCACAGACAUACUGAAUUCUGCACAGCAGCCAUUCAUAGUGUCCCCAUUUUAUACAUGUGAAAAACAAGGCUCAGAGAGAUGAAAUGACUUACCCACUCCACACUCUGAUAUGAACAGAGCUGAGCCACACCCAACAGCCUCCUGACCACUGAGGGACCUCUUCAUCACUGCUCCACACCUCGGCCAGAUACGGGGACUGCGCCAUAUAGGACAGUCAGUCUGUCUGCCUGUGAAACCCAAGAUGGGGGAUGGCGGGGGAGUGACGAUGUGCCAGCCCUCAGAGGCUCUCUCUUCUCCCUCUCCACCCAUCUGGGUUGCUCAGGCAAAUGGGCCAGUAGCUUUCACUGGGAGCCACCCCAGCGAUGGCGAGGAGAACCAGACAGGCACAAGGGCAGACUCCAGAACUCUCAGCACCAGUCAGGGGACUCCUGGGGACACCCUAAGGGAGAUGGCUUACAGGCAAGCAGUACCUCCCCUGGCCUCAGGCCAAUGAGAAGACAUCAAAUGGCAAACAGUCACAGAUCCUGAAGAGCAAUUAGACCUGAACCUGUCUUUCAUUCAUUCAUUCUUUCACUUGCUCAUUCCUUCAUUGACUCACUUAUUCAUUCAGUAGCUGUUAAGCAACUGCUCCCUGCCAGACACCACACUACUAACUGAGGGUAUAGCAGCUAUAGUUCCUGCUAAGUCCUCAUGACUGAGAUUAGAGCUACUAGGAAGGAGGAUGGCGAGAGAGAAUUCCUUGUCCCAGGGAGACGAUGCUGGUUGCAAUGCCAUCAUCAUCGCUGUGGGCCACAACAUUUCACAGCAUUUAGAUCACUAUCCAUCUGAAUAUCUAGAGUAAGUGAUUUUGGGAUGGUCUCAUGGCUGGUGCAGAUGCCUGGCCCCACCUCCAGCAGCCUGGAAACAGCCCUGCAGGGAGGAUGUCCUGUUUCUCACCCUCUGAGGAUGGCUCUUGGCCCAGCCCCACCUUGCUGAGGGGAGCAGGAGGCCACCUGCUUUGGAGGAUGCCAGUGGGCCUCCAGUCAAGACCCAGGCUCCGUGCAGUCUUAAUGACCCCAAGCAAGACCCAGGUCCCUUGGCCACGGCCUCUAUCCCCAUCCUGCACUGCCUCUUACAUUCCGUGAAGUAAUCCACACUCACAAAUGCACAGGAGCAUUCUGGGCCUUCCUGGAAAGUCCAUGGGAGAGUUGGAGGGGAAGAUUUACCUCUUACAGCUUGAAAAUCUUCAUUACAUGUGGCUCUUUUCUUUCAGUUACUCACCUUCAUGCUCUUACCUGGGUCUUCUCUAUUCCUGAUCUUCAUGGGCCCAAUCCUUAGCUCUUCCAGGUCCUCCCUCCACUCCCAGCUCUUCCCCCAGGCCAAAUCCUCCUACUCUAUAAUGGGAAGCAGAUUCUCCCUUCCUGGGAAGACUGUCAGCCUGCCUGGGCCCAAAGGCCAGCACCUGCCCUGAAAGAGCCUCUCCUCCUCUUUAUGGAAAGAUGCUGUAAGAACACAGCUUUCUCUGCAUGUUACGCUGCUUGAGCAGACAAGAGACUGUGGAGCCAGAGCCAGAGGUGCAGGGGAAGCCUGGGCCCCACUCAAAGAAAUGAGGGCGUAAGAGAGGAGAGGAGGAGGCUUGGUCAUGGUGGGGGAGACAGCAUUUUCACCCACAGCUCUGAAGCUUAGGGACCACAGUCUUCUAUCGAAGAUUGCCACCAGCCCCUGCCCCUCAGCCUUGAUAAUAAGCCUGCCCAGGCUAGGAAGAGAAAUAGAGCUAGAUACCAAGGUGAAAGGCAGGGAGACCCAGGGCCAGUUCCUCCAUACCACACACCCCUGGCGGGUUGAGGGCACACCUUCAUCACCAUGAAUGCCACUGUCAGCAGGCAGGCAGCAGUUUCUGUUGUCUGGCCAGGGGUGGGACCCUAUGUGCCUAUCUGGUGAGUUUGCCUUCCCUGAGUUUACACACGUAGAUGUCUCCUCCUUGGGUGGUAGCCAGAGUUCAGACUGCAGAUGGCCAGUGGAUCCCCAAAGUGUCUGGCCAUGAAGAGCUCCCACACUGGAGCUGGAGCCCGCUGAGGCCUGUGGAACCGCUGUACUGCCCCCAGUAGGAAUGGGCCUGUUCUUACUGGACUGUGGAACAAGGGUGCAGAGAACAAAGGGGACCCUCUUCUGCUCUGUAUCCUAUCUCUUCACCUGUGUCAGCCUUGGCAAGGUCACGGGGCCUGUGGGGCCAGGGAGGGGCAGUGAGACCCAGGGAGGUGUGUGUUAAUUACUUCUGAACUUCCAGGCUGCCUUAAAGACCCUCCUCUACCCUUGAGACCCAGAAUGAGGACAGGGUGGUGGUCCUGGGCCAGAGGGCCACGGGCAGGAGUGGGCCUGCUCCUCUCUGUGACUGCACCUAGUGUCCCUAGUCAGCAGUUUUCCCCACCUCAUGCCCAGGAGAGUAGGGGUGAGGAGGGAAGGGGAGCCUCCAGCACACUCUGCUUUCCCAGAGAGGUGGGGAGGCAUUCAAUGACCUGGUGAGGAGGGCUGUGGGCUUGUGUCAGGAUGAUCCAACCAACCUCAGGCCCCUUGGAAACGAACAGGAAAGGGAGCGUUUAAUCAGGAGCAGCAGUAAUGGAUAACAGGUGCCUUUUUCUGCCUGAUUUGGAAAGCAAGUGUUGGCACUAAGAUGAAAACAAGAAUAUCAGCCUACGAGUUAAAGUAUUUUAAAUUAGAUGUUUUUAAAAAGACUAACAAAAUGGAUUGCAGAGGCGAUCAUAUAUGUACAUGUGAAAAUAGAGUCUCACUCAUCCUAUUUCUGGGCUGUGGGUUUAUUUAGUGAGUUUAUUUUCCCUGUAUUCUCCAGAUUUUCCACAAUGGGUAAAUGUUUCUUUUCUACCCAGAAAAACAAUUAACAUUUAACUUUAUAAAAGAAGACGUAAUCAGUAAUGAUUACUAAUCAGUUUUUAACAACUGAAAUAUGAUAGUGCCACAAAGUUGAUUACGAAACACUUGGCCACCAUCUCCCCUGGUCGGAAUCACCAGUCUCCAUGGAAGGGCCUUCUCGUGUGAGGCACGGGCUGUAAUGCAGGUAGUGGGAAGAAUGGGGGAUGGGCGUCCUCGGAAGGCCCAGGAUGAGAGGAAGCCCCUCUAGUGAGAGAGGGAAGUGCGGCUGGGGCAGGGUUACGGGGGCAUAGUGCACAACCCUCUCUGAAGAGUCUGUUCCUCUUCCUGCUCUGAAGGAGGUGAGGGAAUAGGUCAGAGCUCAGAGUCUUAAAUAAGUCCUGCCAGGUCCACAAAGGAUGGGAAGCAGUUGUGCAGGAUGCAGUGGGAGCCCCCAACAGGUCAACCUACAUUGGGUCCUAGGCUCAGAGGUGGCUUCUGGAGAAGGGGAUGGUUAAGCAGUAGUCCAGGACAUUUAGUGAAGAGGACCCUCGGGGAGGGUCCUGAGGAGGCUGUGGGCUGUGAGUCAUGCACCAGGCUGGAACAGGUGGCCUAGGGUGUGGUAUCUGUAAGAGUCUCGUACAGGAGAGCUGGGCCCCAUGGCAGGUUCUGUUCUCUCGAGUUGUCAGUGUACCUCCACAGUGAAAGGCACAGCCAGCCAUGUUAGGGGACCUGAAGUUAGGACCACUGAUCCUCCCAGGCCCUUGGGUAGCUCUCAGUACCUCUGAGCCUCCAUUCCUCAGCCCUGUGAUGAGGCUAGGCAUGGUGAAGACCUAGCACAUCUGAGGAACUGAUUUAGGGACUUUUUUUUUUUUUUUUUGAGGCAGAGUCUCACUUUGUUUUCUAGGCUGGAGUGCGGUGGUGCUGUCAUAGUUCUCUGCAGCCUUGAUCUCCCAGGCUUAAGCAGUCCUGCUGUCUCCACCUUAGAAGUAGCUGGGUACAGGUGCAUGCCACCAUGCCUGACUAAAUUUUUUAUUUUCAUUUUUCAGUAGAGAUGGGGGCUCAUUGUGUUCCCCAGCUGGUCUCAAGCAAUCCUCCUACUCCUACUACCCAGCAUGCUAGGAGGACAGGCAGGAGCCAUGGUGCCCAGCCUGAACUGGGGACUUUUAUGAAUUUCCCUCGAUAGGUACUACUUACCAGCAAGAAGGCAACCCAGGAGUCUAAGGGUAGGUAGGGGGAAGAAAAAUGCCCUCAAAUGCAAUUCAGUCAUCAAGGGAGGGAUGGACUGGAAUGAUGGCAAAUUUCUGCCAGCACUUGCUGGCCUUCAGGAUGACACUGGACUGUGGGAGGGCUCCUCCAAGAGGUUGCUGCAGACAGUGGCCCCCAGAGUGCUAUAGGGUGGUGCUGUAGGGUGUUCAGGGAGUUGGGUGAUGCAGUUUCUGUCCAUGUGAGGUUUACCUGUUUGUUUUAGCUGGAAGGAUUAUCUGACAUCCUUAGGGAGGCACCAGGAAGUGGAGUCAUGGCAACAGAGCACUAAGCCUGCUGUCCCCAAAACUGAGUUUUAAAAGACACUUGUUUCCUUCCUUGAGAAGAUCAGAGAACCCUGGCAUAUGCCCAGGUUUACCAUGUCACAAGGUUGCCUCUCAAGCCCCAAACUCUGCAGUAUUUUGGGAGAGUCGGGCCAGGCGCUAGAGGCGAUCCUGCAGGUGAUGGGUCCCUUUGGCUGCCAUGCUUCAAGUGUGGGGAGAAGGUUGGAACAUCAAAUGGAUACAGGAAGUGAGUCUUCUAAGACAGGAGAGGGUAAAGGAGAAAGAGGGUGCCUCCAUGCAAAGAGGCUGAGCAGGAAGCUGCACGUUGCCCCAGAAAGGCUCACUGCCGGGGAGCGCAGGCAAAAAGAAAGCCAGAGGGCUGCCCACAGAGUAACCCUGAGUGUGAACUCCUGGAUGCUGCAGCAGGUCACAAAGCAAGUUUGCAGAGACCUGGCUAGAGCCACAGAGGAGACUGUCCAGUGCAGAGGAUGUAGCACAUAGAAGGCUCCAGUUGCAUCCUGGUGAAUGACACCCAGGCCCAACCUGCAAGGUUGCCCACAAUUCUGUGUGCACUGUUAACGUGGACUUGCCAUGGACUGUCUGGGCUCUACAGUGCUUUGAAACAUCUCAGCCCUAGGCUGAGGCAAGUGGGCGUGCCUGGAUUUUAGUCAUGCUCUUGACCCUGGAAAAAUGGUGAACACUCAAUUAAAAGUUGAAAGAA
Sapajus apella (tufted capuchin) is the source of this 6293-nucleotide long non-coding RNA. RefSeq lists it as uncharacterized. The transcript has 2 exons. NCBI's taxonomy places the organism in Eukaryota, Metazoa, Chordata, Mammalia, Primates, Cebidae. The record is from RefSeq and is a predicted model, not a curated record.